CGUGUUCCCGACCAGCGUUGUGCGAGUCUGCAGAGGGUGAGCGGGUGCGGCGGGAUCACGUUCCAUCGAAGUCACGAUGAUUGAUUUUCCACAAAGCGGCGAGUUUGAUCCAGUUGACAGCUUUUUCGUUCCAGACAGGUGCCGUGAGAAACGGCAUCGGGAUGUCGCGGGGAGGGGGCAGGUGCCAUGCUGUAUUCUGUCUGCUGCUCUAUCUGGGGGCCACGCGGUGUCUGCGCACAUAGUGGAGGGCAAGGGGCAUCAGUACCGAACAGAGUAACCUUGUUUCUACGACAUCCAUAACUGUUAACCAGGCUCUAGUAUCUCCGGACGGUGAUCGGUCAAGCCAUUUUCAUAGAACAAUUCUGUUUUUAUUCACUUUCUGGUAACUUCCGUAGGCCCUGACUCAAGGACUUAGCGUCGUGUCUCAUGUACAUCUUUUCUUAAAUGUUCUCUGCCAUUUCUGGAAUUGUCCUUGGUUUUUCCUUAGCUCAUAGAUCAUAGAUGCAGAAAUAUUAUAGUAUUUAAGGCAUCCGCAUCAAGCAUCAGAUGGCUUUGCAUCCAGAAAAACAUUUAACGAUAACUCCGUUUGAAGCACCACGCAUGUGUAACAUGGCUCUAUAAAAUACAAUAAACGCAUAACGUUGUUAAGCUUUUCAACGCCUGUGGUUCUCGUUUGUCCCCCAGUCCUCCAAGCCGCCUCUCCCCGAGUCUCCUUACACGGGAAACCUGGCCACAAGCUGCCUGGGGUGGCUCCUCGUGGGUUUCCUUCCGGCACGGAAACGGAAACGCACAGGAUUCCACGCGUGCUGGCGAGAACUUCCUGAACAUCUCCCCGCUCCGAGAUGGGCUGAUGGGCCAGAGUUUUCAUGAAGAGCCCACCCGCUUUUCAGAAAGCACAGCACGGCCAGAUGACAUUCUCAUGGCCCACUGAUGCCCAGUGGCCGUUCUGGGAGCUCUGGUGCCUAAAAGAAGGGCUUACUAACUGGAAUAAGACUUAACAGCCUGAUAAACUAUAUCCCGAGAGCUCCUGAGGAUUUGGCUAAAAGCAAAAUGCAGAGGAGCGUCCUGCUCUGUCCUGGCUGGGGCCCUGGUGUUUUGGUGUACUGAUCAAGGAGAUUCACGUGACUUUCCCUCCUUUUUGCUAAUGAUGGAAGGGGCUGCUGACAGAAUGUUGCUGAGGUGGCGAGUCCCAGGCCCGCGUGAGGCCCAGAACUGCUGAGCGAAGGCUUGAGGUAGAGCUGAGCUGAGGGGCGGCCGUGGUCAAAGAUCGAGUGUGCAUUUCUGGGUUUUAGAUGGGAAGGAAGCGAGGUCAUGGAGGGCUGUGGAAUUGCUUCCGUGGGCACCGCGGCAUAGCGGGGAGGCCAGCGUCCCUCCUUUGCCCUUGUCCCUAUCUCCAGCUGGCUGUGGGGACAUCGGUUUAGAACCUGACUUGCCCAGGACCAUGCUCGGCACGGUGAGCAUUGUUUCAUUUUCUCCUCCAAACUGCUCUGGGAGGAGCUCUGCAGCACAGCCCCAUGUCGUGGUCGAGGGUCACUGGCAAAGGUCCCGGCAGUCGGGAUUCAAAACCCAGGCCUGCCUGCCUUCCUCCUCCUGCCACUGGGCCCGCUGCCUGAGUGGAUCUCCGACCCCUUACGAAGAAGCCGCGGUCCCUAUUUAGGGGGCAGUACCAUACCCGCCCUGCCCAGAGUCUUAGAGGGCAUUCCUGGCCUUGGAAGCUGGCUCCUGGGGCUGCUCACGAGUGGCCAACAGGCCCCCUUAUUCUGGUUCCCAGCUGCUCCUCUCCAGCUUCCUGCAGUCACUACUGAGCCAGUCUCCUAGCUGGGGCUCUCACCACCCCACCUGAACCUGCAGUGGCUCCCCUCUUCCUGCAGAACAAAAUCCAAAGCUUUCCACCUAUGCUCAAAGCUAAGCCCCAGCCCUGACCUACUUUUCCAACCUCUCUCUCCCAUCUUCCCCUUCCCCUUGCAGUUUUUCAUUUCCAAAGCUUCCCCUGCGCUGGAACUCCCAGGUUCGCUCAUUCGUGCAACAGUCCGGAGGGCGAGCUGUGUGUCAGGCGGGGUUUUCUGUGCUAAUGGAACUUGCAUUACAGCUAGCGGGGCGGUGGCAGGGCGGGCUCUGAGGAAGCUUGCGCCUAGCUGAUAGUGACCUGGAUCGAGCGCCCCCACCCCUUUCAUCAUCCGCUACAUGUUGCUUAUGUACUAGUCCCCAUGAGUCCCAGGAGCUGGUGGCCAGAGCCCCUCUCCGGCCCUGGCGGGGCGGGGGGACUGCCCAUCCUCCCCUCCCCACCGCCCCCUGCCUGGCCUUGGCAAAUUCCUUGUCGCCUCUGCCCUGCCCUCCCUCCCGGGCUGCUGGGCCGCAGGGCCCAAGGGUUCCUCGCUGUGCGCCUCCACCUCCGGCCGCGGGGGGCGCUGUGUCCGGCCGCUCUCCCGCCCCGCGGAGAGGGGUGGGGCCAGGUGCGCGUGCGCGCGGCGCUGGCUGCCCGGGUGCCCGGAAAACCAGCCCUGCUGGGAAGCCGGGGGAUUUCCGGAGCCCGCUGGGGCGGGGACGCUUAGGGUCCCCUCGUGGGCGGCAGCGCCUGUCGGGGGCUCGAGCACGGCUGGGGGGAGGGGCCGGGGAGGGGGGUGCGCAGCCCCAAGUGCAGAUGACCUUGUGCAGAUGGGCCGCCGGGGCUUCCUCUUCCUCGGCGCGGGCUGCGGGGCCUUCUCCCUUGGGAGGGCAGCCCGGGCGGCCGCGGAAGGCCGCAGGGCAGGGGAGCCACUCCGGGAGUGCUCCUGGUGCACCCCCCAGACCGGAGGGGCCGGGGGAAGAGGCCCCAGGCAGCCGACCACUCCCGUGUCCCGGGGAGAGUCAGAGCCCGGUGUCGCGGAGGGUGGGGGAGGGGCGGCCGAGGCGGGGGGGGGGGGGGUUGGCUUCUGUGAAGCGGGUUGGGAGGAAGCUGCAGGAAGCCCUCCAGGCCCCGCCGCUUUUCUGGUCCACCCUCGUCUGACAGGCCCCCUCAGCAGCCCGCUUCCACGCCCAGAUCCCCCUCCGCUCCCCGCUCUGCCAAGUCACCCGCUCUGAUGCCGGUCACUGGCCCCCACCCAUCGUCCCUGGGGACCUCAACAUCCGUCCUCAGGGAUGGUGCAUCGCCUAGCCAGGCUGCUUCCCGGCCUCCUUAUGGUGACCGCGCCCCAGCCUGCCACCGCCACAGGGGCUCCCAAACCUUGUUUUCGCUGACACCUGCCCACUCGGGUCUCUGUCCUGGGGUCCCGCUCGGCCCCUCCUGCCCUCGCCAGGGUCGAGCCCCAGCCUCUCAGCCUGGGCGCCCCUGGCCCGAUACCUUCACCACCUGGCCCCUCCAAGCCCCGUGUCCUGGCUUCAUUCCCUCCUACGUUCUCGCCUUCCCUUGUCCCUCUUUCACUUGCCUGGCAGACCCCAAGCUGGCCCUGUACUCAGGAGCCUCUCUGCCGUCCGUCAGCCACCUGCCACGCAGGAGUCCACUCCUUACCUCGCCCUUUCUUCACACCCCCUGGCCCAGCACGUCCCCCCAUGUGUGCCCCCUGUCUUGUGUCCCCGCUGUAGUCAGCCCCCCCUCCCGUGCUGCCCAAACCUGCCUGGACGCCCCCAGGGAGGCUUUCAGGUUCUGCCAACCCUGGAGAGCCACCCAGUGGUGACACCUGGAGGGGGCUCCAGGGAUGAGAGGGUGUGGGGGAGGGGUGUGGUCAAGCAGGCUGAUGGUUACAGCCUGUGUGAGGCCAGGUGGCCUGGGAGAGUGUGGCCAGGGCAGGGUGGGAGCCAGUGUCCCCGCGGGCUGAGCUCCCAGCAGCCACUGGGCCACCGCAGAAAGGAAGCAGAGACCAAGGGGCACACGGGCUGGGUGGGCCGUGGCCCUGUCCAAGGUUCCUGCCCCUCUGGGGCCUGACCCGCCGCUCCAGGGUGUCCGUCACCUGCAGCCACAGAACUUGCAAGAGAAGACAGAGAGGCCCAGGGGGACGGCCACGCGAAGACAGAGGUUGGAGCAGUGUGUCCACAAGCCGAGGGUCACCAGCCACCACCAGACAAGGAGGGAUGCUCCCUCAGAACCUCCAGAAGGAAGCUCACUGCUGCCACAGGAUCCCAGACUUCUGGCCUCCGAACUUGGAGAGAAUAAACGUCAGUUUCGGUUACACAGCAUGUGGUGUUUUGUUACGGUGGCCCAGGGAAACUACUGCAAGUUCACCGUCAAGUGGAGAAAGCACAGAACAGUCAGUACCCAGGUCACGCUUCUCGGGGAGUGCGUGUUCCCACGUGCUGGCUCCGCCCUCCCAGAGCUGCCCCCGGAGCCGGAGGCCGCCCCUGCCUGGGCCAGGGAGGCGGGGACAGGCUUCCCGCUUCACAGCACAGUCCGGUUCCGUCCACAUUUGUAUUUUUUUUUUUUACCACGUGAACACAUUACUUACUCCAAAUAAAUAUAAAUUCAAAACA
Long non-coding RNA from Acinonyx jubatus (cheetah), 4443 nucleotides. RefSeq lists it as uncharacterized. The record is from RefSeq and is a predicted model, not a curated record. The transcript is spliced from 2 exons. Lineage: Eukaryota; Metazoa; Chordata; Mammalia; Carnivora; Felidae.